RNAcentral lists this ribosomal RNA (253 nucleotides) under uncultured bacterium. RNAcentral describes it as "partial 16S ribosomal RNA". It matches the Rfam family "Bacterial small subunit ribosomal RNA", at positions 524 to 776 of the family's 1533-position model. The record is from RNAcentral.
UACGAAGGGGGCUAGCGUUGCUCGGAAUGACUGGGCGUAAAGGGCGCGUAGGCGGCUUGCCCAGUCAGGCGUGAAAUUCCUGGGCUCAACCUGGGGACUGCGCUUGAUACGUAUGGACUUGAGUGGGGAAGAGGGUCGUGGAAUUCCCAGUGUAGAGGUGAAAUUCGUAGAUAUUGGGAAGAACACCGGUGGCGAAGGCGGCGACCUGGUCCUUGACUGACGCUGAGGCGCGAAAGCGUGGGGAGCAAACAGG